RNAcentral lists this ribosomal RNA (786 nucleotides) under uncultured bacterium. Its description in RNAcentral is "SSU rRNA". It matches the Rfam family "Bacterial small subunit ribosomal RNA", at positions 72 to 853 of the family's 1533-position model. The record is from RNAcentral.
AAGGUAGCUUGCUACCUGACCUAGCGGCGGACGGGUGAGUAAUGCUUAGGAAUCUGCCUAUUAGUGGGGGACAACAUUCCGAAAGGAAUGCUAAUACCGCAUACGCCCUACGGGGGAAAGCAGGGGAUCUUCGGACCUUGCGCUAAUAGAUGAGCCUAAGUCAGAUUAGCUAGUUGGUGGGGUAAAGGCCUACCAAGGCGACGAUCUGUAGCGGGUCUGAGAGGAUGAUCCGCCACACUGGGACUGAGACACGGCCCAGACUCCUACGGGAGGCAGCAGUGGGGAAUAUUGGACAAUGGGCGAAAGCCUGAUCCAGCCAUGCCGCGUGUGUGAAGAAGGCCUUUUGGUUGUAAAGCACUUUAAGCGAGGAGGAGGCUACCGAGAUUAAUACUCUAGGAUAGUGGACGUUACUCGCAGAAUAAGCACCGGCUAACUCUGUGCCAGCAGCCGCGGUAAUACAGAGGGUGCGAGCGUUAAUCGGAUUUACUGGGCGUAAAGCGUGCGUAGGCGGCUUCUUAAGUCGGAUGUGAAAUCCCUGAGCUUAACUUAGGAAUUGCAUUCGAUACUGGGAAGCUAGAGUAUGGGAGAGGAUGGUAGAAUUCCAGGUGUAGCGGUGAAAUGCGUAGAGAUCUGGAGGAAUACCGAUGGCGAAGGCAGCCAUCUGGCCUAAUACUGACGCUGAGGUACGAAAGCAUGGGGAGCAAACAGGAUUAGAUACCCUGGUAGUCCAUGCCGUAAACGAUGUCUACUAGCCGUUGGGGCCUUUGAGGCUUUAGUGGCGCAGCU